Molecule: long non-coding RNA, 467 nt
Organism: Bombus impatiens (common eastern bumble bee)
Lineage: Eukaryota; Metazoa; Arthropoda; Insecta; Hymenoptera; Apidae
Exons: 2
Source: RefSeq, a predicted model, not a curated record
UGUAACACUGUAAGAGUGAGGAUCUGGAUCAGCAUACACUAUACCUAUUUCCCGAUAAGAGGAAGCGAUUAUCGGAACAAGAUCAUCCUAUUAUCGAAUUUAAAGAUCUAUAUUUGACUUGCUCGAGGAUGAACGCGGGGAUGAACGUUUAAAAAAUCGAACUCGUUUCAAGUGGCAGAGGUGUUGCCAACUUCUCUUCGAUCACCAACGGCGAAGCAUUUACGUCAAAGACUGUAUGACGUCACCCAAUGAGCUAGAAUGUCAGCUAAAAACGUUAAAUGUUUAAUAUAUUUUUUUUCUGCAAAUAAAAGUCAUUUGUCUUCGAAGAAAGGAAAGAUCGGUAUUGAAAUGUUUUGCGUUCUAAAACCUUUCCUUUACAGAGAAAACAUAGAGCUGCCCUUUUAUAUUGGUCGUUUUCGAUCUUACUACAAAGCUACGAAGAAUUUCGCAUCAAGGGAACGUUGAAU